UGGACAUGGGCGCAAGCCUGGAUCCAGCCAUGCCGCGUGUGUGAAGAAGGCCUUCGGGUUGUAAAGCACUUUCAGCGAGGAGGAAGGGGUUGUAGUUAAUAGCUGCAACCUUUGACGUUACUCGCAGAAGAAGCACCGGCUAACUCUGUGCCAGCAGCCGCGGUAAUACAGAGGGUGCAAGCGU
Molecule: ribosomal RNA, 184 nt
Filed under: uncultured bacterium
Lineage: Bacteria
Description: partial 16S ribosomal RNA
Rfam family: Bacterial small subunit ribosomal RNA
Source: RNAcentral